This 345-nucleotide ribosomal RNA is filed under the name Triticum aestivum (bread wheat). Its description in RNAcentral is "partial small subunit ribosomal RNA". The record is from RNAcentral. Lineage: Eukaryota; Viridiplantae; Streptophyta; Magnoliopsida; Poales; Poaceae.
AUGCUUGGGACUGAAUGUUGUCCGAAUUCCUUAUGGCACUACUACGUUUGGAUAUAUGCGUUUCUUCCAGGUUUCAAUAAACUAUACAUUGUUGGGCUAGCAGCAAUUUGCUGGGCAAUUUGGCUCGCUCGUAAUCGUGCCACAUUUGAGCGCAAAUGGAUAAAUAUUCCUUUUGAAGUUGUGUUUACAUCGUGUGCAUUUCUGAAUUAUUGGGCAGGUUUACAGAAGCUUGGGAUGAUGGAGGUGGUGAAGAAGGGAGCGGAGAUGCUGAAGGAGAACGCCUCCCAGAUGUUGUUGCUGUGUGGUCCACCGUCCCUUGAUGAGGAUGAACGCAAGGAUAGCUGA